Molecule: long non-coding RNA, 2879 nt
Filed under: Canis lupus familiaris (dog)
Lineage: Eukaryota; Metazoa; Chordata; Mammalia; Carnivora; Canidae
Description: lncRNA (ENSCAFG00000057097.1)
Source: RNAcentral
GUCCUUUCAUACUGAAAGAUUUUAAAAUGCCAAUCUGUGUGUUUCUAGUUGCCGUAAAUAAAACAAGAAAAGGAAGAAUAUUUGAACCAAUAAAAUAACAAAAUUACUUACAUAUAUACAUAUACAUAUAUAUACUAUACUCCAAAUAGAAAAUAUAAACUUUCCCAUAAGUGGUACAUUUUUUAAAAUAACUAUGCACCAGGUCAUGAAGAAAAUCUCAAAUUACAAAGAAUGUGGGUCAUAUAGGCCAUUUUAUUUUACUACAAUAGAUUUUCACUGUAUUUGUCCUUAAAGUUAGAAGACAUUAAUAAACAGGAUUUUAUAUUAGUAUAUGUACAUGCAUGCUCUUGUGUAUGAAACAACACUGAGGAAAGGUAGAAAAAAACAUUUACUUAAAAUCAUUUGUUUUUCAAAUUAAAAAUGCUGUCUCACAUUUUGAUGGGGGACAUCUGGCCAACUCAAUUUCUAAGACAAAGACUUAUUUUCAAAAUGUAGUAUGUGAGCUGUAAAUUUGCAUACCAAAUGAACAUUUUUAUUCUUUCUUACUCAUUGUUUGAGAAUCUCUGAAGAGAACCGUGGUGACUAGUGAAAAAGAGAUUUUUGUUAAGCUUGAGGAAAUGAUAUGAGGUGUUCUGAUCAUUUCCCCUUGAUGUUGUAUGCCAUUCGUGUUUCUUUAAAUCACUUUUUGUAGUGCUAAGGACCACUAACAGCAAUUUUCAGACAAUCCCAAGUAGGUGAGAAGAAGGCAAGAGCACGUUCAGGAUCCCAGGGCAGCUUGGACUCAGGGAGGCUCAUAGGAACCAAAGUCUUCAACUGAUGUAGGGAAGACUGUUAGGGUUUGAAGCCCAAUGGCCAAGGAAGGAUUCUAGAGAAAUCUGUGGUGCACAAAGGUGCUUUUAUUAAACACAAGGACAGGAGCCAUGAGCAGACAGAGCUGCCCUGGGAGCAUGAGGAGUGGCCCAUUAUACACUUUCAAGUUGGGAGGGGGUUAAGGAGAGCAUAAGUCUCUAAGGAAUUUUGGAAGCAAGGUUUCCAGGACCUUGAGGAGGCUAGCUAUUUUAUUAGACAUUUAUUACUGUCUAAUAAAACCUUAGUGAUGAGACCCUUCAGAUGUAUAUCAGUGGGUCAUAUGCUUAGGGGAUGAUCACCAGUGCGUAUCUUGGGGAAUAGAGAUAAAGGAAGUUCCCAAAGGAAUUUUUACAUGUAAAAGUAGACCUACAGGUUCCCAGAAGGUCGGGCUAAGAUUGCCUUUUGCCCUUAGCGAAGUAUUAACAUUGAGGCAGCUGAGUUCUAGAGGAAGGUCACUCUGCCUGUUUCAAGGACUUGGCAGUGGGCUGUAAGUAGUGAGGAAAUUUAAUAAUUUUUCUUCUACCUUUGUUUCCCACAUCACAGUGACUUCUGGGCUUCCAGGAUAAGAGUUAGGCAAUUUAAAACAAAACUAAACCUUUGAUCCACAAUCUACAGGAAAAGAAAAAUCCCAAAGAAGUUUAAGAGAACUGACUUUGCACUUAAGCCAAUAAAAAAAUAAGAUUAAAAUAUAAGGUGAUGUGAGAGUCCAUAAAAUUUGAAGGCAGUCUGGGGGUACAUACACAAUAGAUGCCAUAAAGCUGAGUGAUUUGCUUGGUUCCCCUCCCCGCCCCCCCCCCCCCCCCCCGCAGUUUUGGAUUUGGGGUUGUGGUGGAUACAUAACCGUGUGUGCCUUCCAUCUGCCUUCUUUUUUCUGAGGGUAUCACCUGCCUCACAGACCAUGCUCCUGCCAUCAGAGCUGCUGCCAAUUUUCCUAAGGUGGCUGGAGGCCAAGGUGAAACCCUGAGCCCGUGUUUCUCACCCUGAGUGAGCCCUAACCAUGCUGAGUCUCCUUCUGCUCCCAGCAUGGAUGAAAUGUCACACUGUGGGGUCUGGAGUCUGGUGUUCCCAGCAGCCACUAAGAGUUUGGAUGAUACACCCCAGAAGUGCAGGACAGUCUAUUCCAUGUGAGCUAAAUCUUAACUAAAGGGAAACAGGAAAUAGUAGGGACCAGGCAAGCAACUUCCCUCUUUUUUCUUCCCUGUGGAUUGCUUUAAGAUUUUAUUUCUUCCCAAAACUCUUCUGGAGAAGUUCCAGGUGCUAAGCCAACAUCCUCGCCAAGAGCUGGCUAAGUCUCUUCAUAGCUCACUGUGAAGUGUUGGCCAGCAUGGUAACACAUCACUUCACUUUGCUUCCCAUUUUUUCUCACCUCUUUCCCCCUAUUUUCUCACUUUUACCAUUCUGUGCUUGCACUUCCCAAAUAAAGUCUCAGCACUUGUUUCAGGCUGUAUUUUGUAGGAAAGUUUUUUUUUUUUUUUUAAAGAGCUGUAACAACAGUACUCCCUUUACAGGAAUGUUGGGUAUUUUCCUCUUGUCCCCAGGAGUCACUCUUCAUGUUUUUUUCCACCCUGCCCCCCACUGUGGGAGGCUGUGGAUCGGUAUCAACAAGGUGUCCAUGCCCUCGGGCUACCACUUAAGUCUGGCAAGGGGGUUGCCCUGGGAGGAGAUUAGAGGGAUAAAGUAUUUAUUCUCCUGGCACCACUAAGGCGUCACCUGGGGCUGUCACAAGAAAGUCACAGCUGGUGGACUCCUCCAUCUGACUUGCUUGAUUUCUGAGACUUGCUUCAUCCUCUCAUCUCUUUGGACCUAGGGAACCAGAACAGCUCCACACUGCUACCUUCAGGUUAUAGACUAUCUCUUGCAGCAGUUCUUCACCCUGCCCACUCCUUUGGAAUGUCUCUCUUUAUAAAUAAACUAUUCCAAUUUGAAUUUUUCUAAUUUUGACAUUGCUAUCUGUUUCCUGCUGGGACCAGUAGUGAAAAGGAAUGGUUAAAUUAUACCAUGGUUAUCUGUGUUGGAAGAGUGCAUAGCCA